UUCAAAUUAAGAUUGACAAAAUCUUGUAUAAGAUCAAUAAUGUCUCACGAGGAUCUAAAUAGAUCAGAAGCAGUAUUAUUAGUUAAAAAUGAAUUAUUAGAAUAACUCUAUUUUAAGAAAACUAUUAAUAAUAUCUAAAAAAGUUAGGAAAAUACACUUCAAUCAAAUAAAAAAUUAAGGCCUCUCAUCAAAAUUUUGCUUUAGGCCACCAACAAUAUUGAGCCGCCGAUCAAAUCUAACAAAUUGCAAAGAAACAUACUAUGAAGAGCUAAUUUACAAAAAGAUCUAACAGUUUUGAGGCUGCACCUGCAGUAAAAGUAACAGUUUAAAAGUUAGAAAACAUAAGGAAACUUAUGGAGGGAUAUCUGGCAGUUUUUUAAUAAUAAGGAUAAAAGCACGUCAGAAGAGUUUAUUCAGAGGAAGAUUUAUCAAUUAGAUUGACUUUAUUUGAAUGUUCUUAUAGGAUGGUUAAAUUUUGAAAGGCAAAUGGCGUAAAAUUAAUUUGAUUGAGCCUAUAUCAAUUCAAAACCUCAGUUAGAAUCCCUCUGGCUUGCAAAUAAUUCAUAUAGAUAUACAAUAUGCAUGCAUUUAUCGGAUAGAAUAAGACCAAUUCAGUUCAGCACACCAAUAAAAUUCGAGGAGCAAAUGGGAAUAUAUACAAAUUCAAUUUUCCAAUGCAGAUGUUUUUCUAUGGUGUGACAUAUGGAUUCAUGUGAAUUCAGUAGCAUAUAUAUACACACUAAAUAUAAUCUUGAUCAGAGAAAGUUUACAGAAUCCUAUUCAUCUUCCUUAAUAUGUACUCAAUGCCUUCCUAUUAUUUCAGAAAUAUUUGGACAAAAGAAGCAUUACACAACACUUUUGCAUUAAGAAUUCAAUUUUUAACUAGUUAGCACAAGUACACACCUUUGGGAGUAAUUCAUUUCCAGUAGUGAAGACUUCAUGUUUUUCGAGUUAUUCACAAUAUAGCUGGUAGUGAACCGUAUUUUUAGCCAGAAGAUCAAUGGUCAGUAAAAAUCGCUAACAUGACGCACGCAACUCUUUCCAAAAAUCAUAGCAUAGGGAGAUUUUGAUGUACCCUGAAAUAGAAGGUAAAUAACAGUCAAUUAAAGAAACUGGAGUCGAGAGAAGCAGAAAAAUAAAGUUAAAGCUCAUAGCAAGAUCUUUAGCGAGGAUAAACACCUGCAGGUAUCUUGAAAUUCAGUUCCUUCAAUAGAGUGUUAGUCCGUAUACAAAAGAGCACUGCAUACAUAGAGUUUGUGAAAAUUUAGGAAAACACAUCUAAAAUAUUGUCAUUUGCAUAAAUUUGGCUGGAGAUUGCCUAAGUAGUACAGUUGACAUUUGUGGAGGAUAAUGGUAUACCAUAUGACGGGGUUUUUUCUAAGACCUAAAAAGUAUCACACUUUGGUGAAAAUUCAAAGAGUUAUGCUAAACAUAAGUACAGUAACAGAGAAGACAUUGGAAGAAAUAGAAAGGUGCAUGCAAUACAGUUGAUGGAUGUCGCAGUUAGAAUUUGUUAAUUGAUCUAAGUGGGAGAAUUAUUUACCUAGACUCCAAAUGGCUUAGGAAAUUUGCAGGCCCGAUAAAAUCACAUAUUCCAAACAAUCAAGAACAUAUAUGUCUUGUGGUAAAACAAAAUUACAAAAGAACAUAUGAGAAUCUUCUUUGGUAAAAUAUUUGUGCAGAAAAUUGUAGAAGAGGAUAAACUUUUUAAAGAUUUCCUAAAUGCUUGAAUUAUCAGUGUAAUGAAAGCACAAAAAAAUGACAGUUGAUUUAGCAUGUCUACUAAAGAUUUCAUCUUUCCUCAUUUUAAAAGGUGGCAUGGAAUAAUCUGCGUGAUCUUAGGAAUAUGUUACAGUAGUUCCUUUACCAAAUUUCAGAAUAUGAAGUACACAUCAGUGUAACCCAAAUCAAUAUUGCAUUCACACAUGACAGCAGAGGCCAAAAGACAAAACACAUUAUCGAAAUAGCACUUUCUUAUCUAGCAUAACGACACUUCAAAUACUAACAUUUUAUAAAUCUCAGAACUCAUAGAAAUAAGAAACGUCAAAUUUAAGUAGAUGGAAAUAUCUACUUAGAUCAAUUAAUCUUAUGUGGUUAAGGGGAAAGUUAUUUAUAGGAAUUUAUCAGAAAGUGAUAAAUUGUUCUACCUGAAAAUCUAGAACAUUGAGGCAGCAAAACCAGUGCAUGAUCGUAAAGUAUUUUGUGCAGUAACGAAAAAGCCCAAAAUCCCAAAAUAAGUUGCUACUUCCUAUUCGCAAGUAGAAGUGGGAGGAAAUAAGCAAAUGUAAGAAACAUUAUGUUUGAAUCAAAGAAAUUUAGAAUCUAUGAGAAAGAAUCAAAUCUCAAGUACAGAUACGCAACCAAGGGCGGCUCAAUAUUGUUGGUGGCCUAAAGCAAAAUUUUGAUGAGAGGCCUUAAUUUUUUAUUUGAUUGAAGUGUAUUUUCCUAACUUUUUUAGAUGCAAAAUUAUUAAUAGUUUUCUUAAAAUCGAGUUAUUCUAUUAAUUCAUUUUCAACUAAUAAUACUGCUAAUCUGAUCUAUUUAGAUCCUCGUGAGACUUUAUUAAUCUUAUACAAGAUUUUGUCAAUUUUAAUUUAAAAACAAUUCUUUCCCCGGUUGCAAUUGUUAUAGUAAUACUUUAUUCUAUAAGGAAUAUAGGCAAUAGAAAAAAAUGAAGUCUUGUUAUCUUAUUAAGUAUAUCGAUUAGAGUCUUAUCUUCUACUUGUAAUAUUUCCUUUCACGCUAUAUAAUUUGAAAAAUAAGCCUAAAUUAUCAUAUCGGAGUGGCUAUUAUGUUCUUAUCAAGGCUAAGUCAAUAUUUGUUAGAUUUUUAUCAUCCGAUCUCAAUUUUUACCCACUAAAUAAAAAAUUAAAAAUAUUCUUAUACGCUUCGAAUUAUUCAAACUCAAGGGUCAAUAUCAGUAACAAAUUAAAAUUUUCUUUUCGUUUUGGUAAUUAUUUUUACUUUUCAACUUUAAUUUUGUAUAUAAAAAAUUAAUUCAUAAAAUUACUACUAAUGAAAGAUGGGGCCCCCAAAAUUUGGGGGCCUAAAGCCACAGCUUGGGCUGCUUUACCCUUCAGCCGGCGUUGUACGCAACGAGACAUGCCUUUUACUUUCUUUUUGAUGGUGUGGAUGGUUCUAAUUUCAGCCCGACAUGGGAAUAAUCAGAUACCACAACUGUUGUUUCAGUUUCUAUUUCAGUUGACCGGAGAGGUUUAACCUUAUUUUUGUUCCUCUCACCAAUGUUGGGUUGAAAGAUGUGCUCCUUUUCGACAUAGGAUGAAACGGAUAGACUUACAUGCAUGCUGCUAUAACCUUUCCAGGAUGAUUUUCUCAAUUGAAUGCGAAACAUUCUGUCUGAAAGCUUGUUUUGGACAUGCUUAAUGUCUCAAUUGAGUUGCCUCUGGAAGUAGAAGAUGUCAAUCCUUAAGGCUAAAUUUUAGUUAUUACUUCAUCUCUCAUAGCUUUUGAUUCGAUUUCCAAAAUUUUCAUUUACUUUUUCUUUUCACCUCUUCCGUACCUGUGAUUUAGGGUUAAUUUUUUCAUUUUUCUUUAUUUGUUCUUUUUAUUGCACUAAUUCCUUGGCGAUGAAUUUUGAUGGAUAUCUGCUAAUUAGUUUUCCUCUUAUUUUAAAAAAUUAUGGUUCAUGUUUUACGUGCAUAUCACUAUUUUUACCUCUUUUCUUCACAUAGAUGUAUGAAAAUAAAUACUUAGGUGCAUGGUGUGUUAUGUUAAUUAGACUCAGAGACACACUCAUCCAUAAAUAUAAAAAUGGACAAACUUUUUAAGUUUUUUCCUUCGAUUGUAUCUGCAAAGAAUUAGUACAAUUUUUAUUGCAUGACUUAGUACUAAGCAAAACUUUGUAGCUCUAAAAUAUAAUGUUUAAUAAAGCCCAUACCAGAGACAAUAUGGAACUUACAAGUUACAACUAAGAAAUUUACAAGUUUAAAAAGAAAUCCCAAACUAAAGUUAAAUCAGACUAUAAGGACAAACAAUCAGCAAGAAGUAGAGAACCUGGGUGGGGCUAUUUGUUAGAAAGAAUCCGUUUUUCCUCCUUAACAGGCUAUGCCGGUUAUAUCCUCUGAUUUAGUAGCUUCUUCAAAUAGUGAGGACUGAAGAAAGCAAGACGCAGAGCAGUUCGUAGAAGCAACAAUGGAGCAACCAUCAAAAUAUAUACAAAUACUAACCUGCAUGUAAACAAUCCAACAGGAAAAAUUCAAAAUUUGAAGAAAACCAAAUCAAAUUUAUCAAAAUCAUAUCACCAAAAAAAUGAGUGCAAGAAAGAAAGAAGGAGAAUGAAGUAAAAUCUAGCAGAAAUUUACAAGUACAAUAGUUAGCUUAUACAGUUUCACAAUUUAAAAGAUUGAAGAACAAAAAAAAGCAGAAGAGAGUUGAGAGACUCACUGAAAGAUGAU
This 4415-nucleotide long non-coding RNA is filed under the name Nicotiana tabacum (common tobacco). RNAcentral's name for it is "long non-coding RNA (NTAB_LNC000965)". Lineage: Eukaryota; Viridiplantae; Streptophyta; Magnoliopsida; Solanales; Solanaceae. The record is from RNAcentral.